GGUCUAUGACCAAGGCUCAGAUUGAACGCUGGCGGAUGCUUUACACAUGCAAGUCGAACGGCAGCACGGACUUCGGUCUGGUGGCGAGCGGCGAACGGGUGAGUAAUGUAUCGGAACGUGCCUAGUAGCGGGGGAUAACUACGCGAAAGCGUAGCUAAUACCGCAUACGCCCUUCGGGGGAAAGCGGGGGACCUUCGGGCCUUCGCACUAUUAGAGCGGCCGAUAUCGGAUUAGCUAGUUGGUGGGGUAACGGCUCACCAAGGCGACGAUCCGUAGCUGGUUUGAGGACGACCAGCCACACUGGGACUGGAGAUUACUCUGGCCCAGACUUACGUGAGGCAAAGAGUGGGGAAUUUUUGGACAAUGGGGAACUCUGAUCCAGGCCAUCCCGCGUGUGCGAUGAAGGCCUUCGGGUUGUAAAGCACUUUUGGCAGGAAGAAACGGCACGGAUAAUACCCUGUGCAACUGACGGUACCUGCAGAAUAAGCACCGGCUACUACGCCAGCAGCCGCGGUAAUACGGUGGUGCAAGCGGUGACCUGAAUUGUCGUGGGCGUAAAGCGUGCGCAGGUGGUUCGGAAAGAAAGAUGAAAUCCUGAGAGCUUAACUUUGAACUGGGAUUUCUUUAACUACCGAGCUAGAGUGUGUCAGAGGAGGUGGAAUUCCCGCGUAGCAGUGAAAUGCGUAGAUAUGCGGAGGAACACCGAUGGCGAAGGCAGCCUCCUGGGAUAACACACUGGACGCUCAUGCACGAAAGCGUGGGGAGCAAACAGGAUUAGAUACCCUGGUAGUCCACGCCCUUAAACGAUGUCAACUAGCUGUUGGGGCCUCGGGCCUGGUAGCGCAGCUAACGCGUGAAGUUGACCGCCUGGGGAGUACGGUCGCAAGAUUAAACCUCAAAGUUGAUUGGGACCCGCACAAGCGGUGGAUGAUGUGGAUUAAUUCGAUGCAACGCGAAAACUUCACCCACCUCCUUGACAUGUCUGAAUCCCGAAGAGAUUUGGGGAGUGCUCGCAAGAGAACCGGAACACAGGUGCCGCAUGGCUGUCGUCGCUCGUGUCGAGAUGUUGGGUUAAGUCCCGCAACGAGCGCAACCCUUGUCAUUAGUUGCUACGAAAGGGCACUCUAAUGAGACUGCCGGUGACAAACCGGAGGAAGGUGGGGAUGACGCUAAGUCCCCCUUAUUCCUUAUGGGUAGGGCUUCACCGCGUCAUACAAUGGCCGGGACAGAGGGUCGCCAACCCGCGAGGGCGCCAAUCCCGUGAACCUGAUCGUAGUCCGAUCGCAAAUGCAACUUCGGACUGGGUGAAGUCGGAAUCGCUAGUAAUCGCGGAUCAGCAUGUCGCGGUGAAUAUGCCCCGGGUCUUGUACACACCGCCUGUCACAAUCUGCUGGCGGGUUUUUUACCAGAAGUAGUUAGCCUAACCGUAAGGAGGGCGAUUACCACGGUAGGAUUCACACUCGCAGAAGUCGUAACAAGGUAG
This 1483-nucleotide ribosomal RNA is filed under the name uncultured Bordetella sp. RNAcentral's name for it is "partial 16S-23S ribosomal RNA intergenic spacer". It matches the Rfam family "Bacterial small subunit ribosomal RNA". Lineage: Bacteria; Pseudomonadati; Pseudomonadota; Betaproteobacteria; Burkholderiales; Alcaligenaceae. The record is from RNAcentral.